RNAcentral lists this ribosomal RNA (468 nucleotides) under uncultured bacterium. RNAcentral's name for it is "partial 16S ribosomal RNA". It matches the Rfam family "Bacterial small subunit ribosomal RNA", at positions 28 to 507 of the family's 1533-position model. The record is from RNAcentral.
GACGAACGCUGGCGGCGUGCUUAACACAUGCAAGUCGAACGGAAAGGCCCUGCUUUUGUGGCGUGCUCGAGUGGCGAACGGGUGAGUAACACGCGUGUAACCUGCCCUUGACUUUGGGAUAACUUCAGGAAACUGGGGCUAAUACCGGAUAGGAGCUCCUGCUGCAUGGUGGGGGUUGGUAAGUUUCGGCGGUUGGGGAUGGACUCGCGGCUUAUCAGCUUGUUGGUGGGGUAGUGGCUUACCAAGGCUUUGACGGGUAGCCGGCCUGAGAGGGUGACCGGCCACAUUGGGACUGAGAUACGGCCCAGACUCCUACGGGAGGCAGCAGUGGGGAAUAUUGCACAAUGGGGGGAAGCCUGAUGCAACAACGCCGCGUGCGGGAUGACGGCCUUCGGGUUGUAAACCGCUUUCGCCUGUGACGAAGCGUGAGUGACGGUAAUGGGUAAAGAAGCACCGGCUAACUACGUG